CAGAGCAGCUCAAAGCAAAUACGAUAACGAGAAGGGAAUGAAAGAGAAUGGGACAACGUGCCGCACAGUGGGACUGAACCCAAGGCGACAUGGUUGGAAAGCAAGCUUCUCAAUCACAUGGCCACGCCUAUAAAGGAGAGAUACAUUUUGGAUAAUAUACUCCUUGAUACAAUAUGCUUAA
Molecule: long non-coding RNA, 181 nt
Organism: Octopus sinensis (East Asian common octopus)
Lineage: Eukaryota; Metazoa; Mollusca; Cephalopoda; Octopoda; Octopodidae
Exons: 5
Source: RefSeq, a predicted model, not a curated record